Molecule: ribosomal RNA, 234 nt
Filed under: uncultured bacterium
Lineage: Bacteria
Description: partial 16S ribosomal RNA
Rfam family: Bacterial small subunit ribosomal RNA
Source: RNAcentral
GACAGAGGGUGCAAACGUUGUUCGGAAUUACUGGGCGUAAAGCGCGUGUAGGCUGCUUGGAAAGUCGGAUGUGAAAGCCCUGGGCUCAACCCAGGAAGUGCAUUCGAAACUGCAGAGCUCGAGUCCUGGAGAGGAAGGCGGAAUUCUCGGUGUAGAGGUGAAAUUCGUAGAUAUCGAGAGGAACACCGGUGGCGAAGGCGGCCUUCUGGACAGUGACUGACGCUGAGACGACGA